UGAUUGACAGCAACAAGGCUUUAAAGGGAUCUCUAACAAAAUGCCAGCUGGAGCAUCUGCUUAGAAACCCAGGGAAAACAAAACUUAUUUUCUGCUUUGACUUUCUUUUUAACAAGCAAAUCAGGUGGCUUAGCAGUAUUUUAUUAAAGAAAAAUAAUAAUGAAGGAGAUAAAGACAGCACUGCACAACAUCUGAUGCAUGAAUUAGAACCAUAUCAAGCAACUCUUCCCUCUGAGGCAGGUGUCAGCUCAGCCCAGGGCUUUCCCUCUGCAGUGACACUGGAACUCUAGCCAGCCUUAUUCAAAACUCUUCUCUUUCUGCAGCUCCAGAAGGUGUGAAGAGCUCAGGAUAAAGGCUUUUUUCCGACUUCUGUGUUCUAGCCUUCUCAUCUCCCAGGAUAAGAACAGCCGCAGGGCAACUUUAACUCACUACAAAGAUGAAGAAGGCAGCUCUCAAAGGAUUUACCAUCUGAAUUUUUUGACAGAAAACUUGAGAUUUGGAAAAAUGCAGCAUGUUCUCACCAUUUUUAUCCAGGAUGCAAAACAGAGACUAUUCUCCUUCCUUCCAAAUGGAAGAUGCCCAGAUCUUCAAGGAACAGAAGUAAACCUACUAUUAGAAGCUAGAAAAAAUUAUACUGAAAUUACUAUUCUUCACUGUUAAGGAGAAGAGGGAUUCACUCUAAGGAGGAUUAUGAUGAGGGAAGUCUGUUCUGAGGAAAUCGUGCAGUUGUGCCUCCUUUCUACUUCCUGCCCAUCACAUAUCCCAUGGAAAAUAAUUGCAAGGAAGAUCCUAACAGCAGUUCCAGGUUUGGAGGAGCAGGAAGAUGAGUAGAGCAGAGACAGGUGGAUAGAUCAAAAUACACCUGAAAUUAUGGGGGAAAAUUUCUUCUGUGAACAGCUGUUUGGUUCUACCUCCCCAUUCUUCUAACAAUAUUUUAAUGUCAGCCUCAUUUAAUUCCUGCCAUCCUUAACCACUUCUUCCAACUUCUCAGCAUUGCUUCUCUUUUAAUUUCCAGUUGGCUUCUUCCUUCCAAAACUUUCUAUCUCAUACCAACUUGUCAUUUGCUACAAUCAUAUUUCCUCUGUGUAUUUUCCUGUCCAUUUAAAAAUAAUGUUUAUAAAUGACUGUUUCUACACAAUCUUAAUACUGAAGUCCUGUUCCUGACUGGCUUCUAUGGUCUCAAAGUGGUAAUAAACCAUAGUAGAAUGCAAUUAGAUCCACUGUCUUUAUUGCAACAAUAAGAAUUUCUUAUUAAAUUAUAAAAGCAAAGCACUCCUUUCUGGUGGCAGAAUUUUUAUAUUCAUCAGACAUUUCGUUUUGGUGGAAAUGACCCAGGAAACUGUUAGACUAAAUUCUGAACACUGGAAUUUCAGCUCAUAAGUCUUGAAUCAUCUUGGAAUAGUACUGUGUACAUGCACCACUGGUUUGAAUUCCAGAAACAGAAUACCAGCAGAUGGCAGAUUGAUCAUUGUUCUAGCUCAUUCCUCUGUGAAAGCUUGAG
This is a non-coding RNA of Meleagris gallopavo (turkey), 1501 nucleotides long. The record is from RefSeq and is a predicted model, not a curated record. Lineage: Eukaryota; Metazoa; Chordata; Aves; Galliformes; Phasianidae.